RNAcentral lists this ribosomal RNA (468 nucleotides) under uncultured bacterium. RNAcentral describes it as "partial 16S ribosomal RNA". It matches the Rfam family "Bacterial small subunit ribosomal RNA", at positions 28 to 507 of the family's 1533-position model. The record is from RNAcentral.
GACGAACGCUGGCGGCGUGCUUAACACAUGCAAGUCGAACGGAAAGGCCCUGCUUUUGUGGGGUGCUCGAGUGGCGAACGGGUGAGUAACACGUGAGUAACCUGCCCUUGACUUUGGGAUAACUUCAGGAAACUGGGGCUAAUACCGGAUAGGAGCUCCUGCUGCAUGGUGGGGGUUGGAAAGUUUCGGCGGUUGGGGAUGGACGCGCGGCUUAUCAGCUUGUUGGUGGGGUAGUGGCUUACCAAGGCUUUGACGGGUAGCCGGCCUGAGAGGGUGACCGGCCACAUUGGGCCUGAGAUACGGCCCAGACUCCUACGGGAGGCAGCAGUGGGGAGCAUUGCACAGUGGGCGGAAGCCUGAUGCAGCAACGCCGCGUGCGGGAUGACGGCCUUCGGGUUGUAAACCGCUUUCGCCUGUGACGAAGCGUGAGUGACGGUAAUGGGUAAAGAAGCACCGGCUAACUACGUG